Molecule: long non-coding RNA, 142 nt
Organism: Bradysia coprophila
Lineage: Eukaryota; Metazoa; Arthropoda; Insecta; Diptera; Sciaridae
Source: RefSeq, a predicted model, not a curated record
AAUUUAAAAGUUAACCCUGAAGAUGAUCGGUCAAACCGGUCGAAUGCACGGCAGUAUCAACAAAUAAGUGUUUUCAUUUGCGGUCGAUUGUGUAAGCAACACAACAACUGGAGGCCCUAACACCAUUCCCCCAGCCAAACAA